RNAcentral lists this non-coding RNA (85 nucleotides) under Eubacterium sp. Its description in RNAcentral is "Fluoride sequence". It matches the Rfam family "Fluoride riboswitch aptamer (crcB RNA motif)". The record is from RNAcentral. Lineage: Bacteria; Bacillati; Bacillota; Clostridia; Eubacteriales; Eubacteriaceae.
ACUUAAACAGGGAAUGAAGUUCUCCCUUGGAAUCUGGAAGCAGAAACCUAGACUGCUUAUUAUAGCUGAUGACUUCUACGAUUAU